GCGAAAGGCAUGGGGGAGGCAAACAGGAUUAGAUACCCUGGUAGUUCCAUGCCGGUAAAACGAUGUCUACUAGCCGUUGGGGGAUUUGAUCCUUUAGUGGCGCAGCUAACGCGAUAAGUAGACCGCCUGGGGAGUACGGUCGCAAGACUAAAACUCAAAUGAAUUGACGGGGGCCCGCACAAGCGGUGGAGCAUGUGGUUUAAUUCGAUGCAACGCGAAGAACCUUACCUGGCCUUGACAUAGUAGAGACUUUUCCAGAGAUGGAAAGGUGCCUUCGGGAAUCUACAUACAGGUGCUGCAUGGCUGUCGUCAGCUCGUGUCGUGAGAUGUUGGGUUAAGUCCCGCAACGAGCGCAACCCUUUUCCUUACUUGCCAGCAUUUCGGAUGGGAACUUUAAGGAUACUGCCAGUGACAAACUGGAGGAAGGCGGGGACGACGUCAAGUCAUCAUGGCCCUUACGGCCAGGGCUACACACGUGCUACAAUGGUCGGUACAAAGGGUUGCUACACAGCGAUGUGAUGCUAAUCUCAAAAAGCCGAUCGUAGUCCGGAUCGCAGUCUGCAACUCGACUGCGUGAAGUCGGAAUCGCUAGUAAUCGCGGAUCAGAAUGCCGCGGUGAAUACGUUCCCGGGCCUUGUACACACCGCCCGUCACACCAUGGGAGUUUGUUGCACCAGAAGUAGGUAGUCUAACCGCAAGGAGGACGCUUACCACGGUGUGGCCGAUGACUG
Molecule: ribosomal RNA, 731 nt
Filed under: Acinetobacter sp. SETCASBRA2
Lineage: Bacteria; Pseudomonadati; Pseudomonadota; Gammaproteobacteria; Moraxellales; Moraxellaceae
Description: bacterial SSU rRNA
Rfam family: Bacterial small subunit ribosomal RNA
Source: RNAcentral